GAUUGCUGCUGUUGGAUCAUGCUGUCUUGUUGGAGUUAUCUGCAGUGGAACCUUAUAUGUAGCCAACCUUGGUGACUCGAGGGCAGUCUUAGGGAGACUUGUCAGAUCAACUGGCGAGGUUCUCGCGAUUCAGCUCUCUGCAGAACACAAUGUGAGCAUUGAAUCUGUAAGACAGGAGAUGCAAUCUUUGCAUCCAGAUGAUUCACAAAUUGUAGUUUUAAAGCACAAUGUCUGGCGUGUCAAGGGGCUUAUACAGAUUUCAAGAUCCAUUGGUGAUGUGUACUUAAAGAAAUCUGAAUUCAACAGGGAACCACUGUAUGCUAAGUUUCGCCUUCGAGAACCAUUUGGAAAGCCCAUAUUGAGCGCAGAUCCAGCAAUUUCAGUGCACCAUUUGCAACCUGACGAUCAGUUUAUCAUAUUUGCGUCGGAUGGUCUCUGGGAGCACCUAAGUAACCAAGGAGCAGUUGACAUCGUACAAAAUCACCCACGAAAUGGGAUAGCUAGAAGGUUAGUGAAAACUGCACUA
Molecule: unclassified non-coding RNA, 526 nt
Filed under: Hevea brasiliensis (rubber tree)
Lineage: Eukaryota; Viridiplantae; Streptophyta; Magnoliopsida; Malpighiales; Euphorbiaceae
Source: RNAcentral